GGCAGUGUAGCCAAGUGGUUACGGCGUCACGUUUAGGCAUGUUCCCAAACCGUGAUGGGUUUCCCGCGCGAGUUCGAAUCUCGUCACUGUCA
Earliella scabrosa is the source of this 92-nucleotide non-coding RNA. The record is from the annotation of a GenBank genome assembly. Lineage: Eukaryota; Fungi; Basidiomycota; Agaricomycetes; Polyporales; Polyporaceae.